This is a long non-coding RNA of Mastomys coucha (southern multimammate mouse), 1130 nucleotides long. RefSeq lists it as uncharacterized. NCBI's taxonomy places the organism in Eukaryota, Metazoa, Chordata, Mammalia, Rodentia, Muridae. The record is from RefSeq and is a predicted model, not a curated record. The transcript has 6 exons.
GAAACUGUCUGUAUCCAUUACCUCGGAGCUAGUCAAACUUCCAUUACUAUUCCCCAAAGGCAGAGGGGAAAUCCAUCUACCCAAUUAUUCCUGAAGGCUUUUCCUAUUUUCUCCCAUGAUUUCUUAUCUAUCUUGGCACAGCUCUGCGACAGUGUGUCCUCCAUCUAUUUCCUCCAUGUCUGAGCCUCAUAUUUGGGCACCAUCUGAGUAGAUCCGUCCCACAGUUCCACUCGGGUCUGUGGGCCUCGUCAGACCAGAGGUCAGACAGGACCUGCAAAAUGAAACAGGAUGCAGUAACUCCUACUGGGUACAUUCACUAUGUUUCAAGGUUGACACUAAGUCUCCAUUAGAAACAGUAAUGUUAAAGCCCACCUUGCAAUUUAUGUGACAAUGAUGGCUUCUUGACCGGAGCAUCUGCCUUUCAAGUGCUUCACCGCGUGCCCUAACGCUGUGUGAAACAGUGAUAAAUUCCAUCUGAAAUACAAGGGACAAUGGGACUAACUCUUUGAGGUCUGUUCUUUCAACACAAUGGAAGACGCCUUGAUUUGUAUCUGCAGAGAAUGUUCCUUUCAUCUCCAUUUCCCUUCUGAUGACCACCCACAUUACCAUCAGAUGACAGCGAAUAAAGGGUUCAUCACUAAUCCUAAAUAUCAUCAUUAGACUGACCGGCAAGCUAGCUCACAGGAUUGCCCGCAUCUAAUCUCCAGUGCUGGCUUCUCAGCACAUACAGCCAUACCCAGCUUCUACGAUGAGUGCCGGGAAUUCAAACUUAGGUCGUAGUGCUUGGGUAACAGGUACUCUCAGCUACUGAGCCUUCACCCGGAGUCCUAUAACUACCAGAUCAAUGGUACUUUACACUUGAUAGUUCACCCAUCUCUACUUAACCAGUUUGCUCUGCAGGAUACCCACCUCCACCACAGCUAUUCUGUUCUCAUGAGAUUGAUCUCUUGCCUUUAAAAAUAAUUUUGAUUUUAAAAUUUAAAUACAAUUAUAUCAUUUUCUCUCUCUUUCCCCGCACAUCCUUCUUAUUUACCCUACCUUAUUGUUCUCUCUCAAAUUUAUGGCAUCUGUUUCUUCAAUUAUUUUAGAUAUGCAUAGAUAUUACUAAAUAAAUAAAGAUCCCCUUAUUG